This 465-nucleotide ribosomal RNA is filed under the name uncultured Klebsiella sp. RNAcentral describes it as "bacterial SSU rRNA". It matches the Rfam family "Bacterial small subunit ribosomal RNA", at positions 338 to 795 of the family's 1533-position model. The record is from RNAcentral. Lineage: Bacteria; Pseudomonadati; Pseudomonadota; Gammaproteobacteria; Enterobacterales; Enterobacteriaceae.
CCUACGGGGGGCUGCAGUGGGGAAUAUUGCACAAUGGGCGCAAGCCUGAUGCAGCCAUGCCGCGUGUGUGAAGAAGGCCUUCGGGUUGUAAAGCACUUUCAGCGGGGAGGAAGGCGGUGAGGUUAAUAACCUCAUCGAUUGACGUUACCCGCAGAAGAAGCACCGGCUAACUCCGUGCCAGCAGCCGCGGUAAUACGGAGGGUGCAAGCGUUAAUCGGAAUUACUGGGCGUAAAGCGCACGCAGGCGGUCUGUCAAGUCGGAUGUGAAAUCCCCGGGCUCAACCUGGGAACUGCAUUCGAAACUGGCAGGCUAGAGUCUUGUAGAGGGGGGUAGAAUUCCAGGUGUAGCGGUGAAAUGCGUAGAGAUCCGGAGGAAUACCGGUGGCGAAGGCGGCCCCCUGGACAAAGACUGACGCUCAGGUGCGAAAGCGUGGGGAGCAAACAGGAUUAGAUACCCCUGUAGUC